UACGGGGGGGGUAAGCGUUGUUCGGAAUUACUGGGCGUAAAGGGCUCGUAGGCGGCCAACUAAGUCAUACGUGAAAUCCCUCAGCUUAACUGGGGAACUGCGUGUGAUACUGGAUGGCUUGGAUUUGGGAGAGGGAUGCGGAAUUCCAGGUGUAGCGGUGAAAUGCGUAGAUAUCGUUUGGAACGCCAAAGGUGAAAACAGACAGCUGGGAGUGUGCUGACGCUGAGACACGAAAGCCAGGGGAGCGAACGGG
Molecule: ribosomal RNA, 253 nt
Filed under: uncultured bacterium
Lineage: Bacteria
Description: partial 16S ribosomal RNA
Rfam family: Bacterial small subunit ribosomal RNA
Source: RNAcentral